UUUCAUUUCUCCUGGAGCUUGGCAGGAAAGCCAGCGAGGUCCUUUGGCUGAAGGGUGAGCUAAGAUGCGCUGAGGUUCAGCCUCUAAGCCCAAGUCCUAGAGAACAUUAGUGGAGAAACUGAAGGAGUUACUUUUAAAUAAAUCAGCUGUAGGAAGUUACAAAUGUAGAGACCCGACAAGGGGAAGUGUUAACCGAUGCUGUUCCACGGUAAAGAUCUCUUCCAGAUUGCCUAAAGAGACAGUGUUGGCAUGACUCGGACAAGUCUCUGACACCCUCUAAGGCUAAUUUCCUGUCCUGGGAGGCCAGGGGUAGGAAUAAUUCUCCGGGGUGCAAUCUAAGAAGAAAAGACAAGCAUCAGUGUUUUAAAGGAGCUCCAUUAUCAUACACAAGCUAGCUGCAUCCUGGGAAGACUUUGCUGGCCUGAGGACUUUUAAAACUGGUCUGCACCAUAACUUGAAGUAAUUGUUCUUGUGAUUGAAGCUAACAACUAUAUAAUGCCUGCUAGGCAUAAUGCCAAGACAUGAUUUGAUUUCAGGCUAAGUUAUUUUCCAGGAAGUUUCUUGAACCUUAAUGAAGACAGGCUCCUGGACAGUUUACCCACCAAGAUAUGUCUGGAUUAUUUGGUGAACACAAAGUCAACUGAGAAAGCUCUGCCCCUACCACAGCAGGAAAGCUGUUUCAAUGACCUCAAGUUUUAAAUGUCAGAUGGUGAAAGUCGAAGACUUUCAAAGACUGGACCAUGAUCCAGUGAGGGGUUCCCCCCCACUUCCCUUUUCUGCCACAAAGAAUGGAAGUUUGUAUAAGAAGUGCAUCAUUCUCUAAACCAAACAGCAAAAAGAGAAACAAAAUGCAGAAGAAAAGAGGUUGACAUCUUGGACAGGAAGGAAAUCUUCCCUGUACUCCCAUUCAAGACAGACUCCCAGAUGAGAACUAAAUAAACAUGGUAGACAAGGAGGCCAGGAAGAUCUGACUCUCUCCAGAAGCAGCAUUGCCACCUUGUUGCCACUGUGAACUAGAAUUGCCAUCAUGCUCACAGAAUCUUAUUCUUUUUUUUAAUUUUUUUUAAAGAUUUUAUUUAUUUAUUUGAGAGAGAGAAUGAGAUAGAGAGAGAGCAUGAGAGGGGGGAGGGUCCGAGGGAGAAGCAGACUCCCUAACUCCCAGGGAGUCCGAUGCGGGACUCGAUCCUGGGACUCCAGGAUCAUGACUUGAGCCAAAGGCAGUCGCUUAACCGACUGAGCCACUCAGGCGCCCCACAGAAUCUUAUUCUUGAAAGACAAGUCACACUUUUUGCUCUCAGGGCAGAGCCACAUCCGCAGCCUCUUUCUUGCUUCCUUCGCCCUCUCUCCUUGCUUUGAGCUCACUAAUUCUCUGUUUCAGUGGGGGCUUCCAAGAGAAAUGGAGUGAAUCAUUCAGCAAGGGGAAAACAUCAGCCAUCUAGAACCUUCCACAUUGAUUUAGAAUCCACUUUAAUAUGGUUUAAGCCACGAAUAAACAAUAAACAAGGGAUGGGACACUAAGGGAGGAGAAAAGUGGUUCAUCUAAUGAGGCCCUGGGAAGCAAACUGGAAUCUAUUACUCUGGGCCAGGCCCUGAGGAAAAUAUAAAAAAAAAAAUGUAAAGCAAGUUUUUGGUCCCUAGGAGCUGAGAGUCUAGUUGGGGAGAAAAGGCAUACUCAUCGUUUAUGAGACACGAUGAGAAAAUUUAUAGCUGCUACCAGAGCAUCACUUCUAUUCCAUCUACAGAAUAUGGAGCCCUCUUUUCUGACUCCCAAGGGACCUGGAAAUCCAUACACAGCCUCUCUCACUGUCCAGAGAGUAUACUGUUGGCAGAAGCAUACCUGGCCUGGGUGAGGGGAGCCAGAAUUGGGCUUAUCUCUUAUGGAUCCUGCAUCUGGCAGCCUGAGUCACUGCAGUGAACUCUCUUCCUGGUCAAUUUGCAGCCACUUCCAGUACCACAAGUGUCCUCCAAUGCUUGGACAUGAUGGGUCCAGAUUCUUGGUCUCAGAGUUCUGACCUCUCUACCUUCUCUGCUCUCCCGACAGUUUCCUUCCCAGGGUCUGGAAAUGUCUUCUCAGAUUUCUUUAAAACACACAGUUUACGACAUCCAUGUUCCUGGAAAAAUGGAACCAUCUUCCUAUUCUCCUAAGGAUGCCUACUUUGAUGAUGAUUACUAUCUUAAAGACAACCUGGUGACAUUCUAUCACAUCUUUUGUUAAAGGGCAGAAAGACACACACACACAAAAUGAAAAUGUAAGAAUGGUCAAUGAUCAAGUAAGCCAAGAAUAGGAGCGAAUGAGAUACAUUUUCAUAUACUUUAUUCUAUUUAAUUUUCAUGAGAAAACCCACCAAGUACCUGUUACUCUUCCUCUUUUAUUGAGCAGAAGGCAUAGGGUCACAAGAGUUAAACAAAUUGCUCAAAGCUAUACAUGUAAUGGAGCCCAUAGGGCAUAUAUUUUCUGUUGCCCAGGACACUGUCCCUUCUACUGUACCACAGCUGCUCCUAGGUCAAGAGAGGAAGCACUUCCUAUGGGUUAGAAUGUCCUAAGGGCAGGUAUCUGAACUGGCUCUCGGCUGAAUUAUAAGCUCUGGGUAGACAGUGGAAGAAGGCAAGGCUGUUCCGGGUCUUGGAAGGAUUAGCAUGACUGAAACCACAGUGUGAAAAAGUGGAAGGUGUAUUUGGAAGGCUGUGUGUAGACUGUUUUGGCUGAAGAGGAGGGCUCAUUCACACAAUGAAAUGGCACCCAGCCAAAGAGAGGGGAACGAUGAAGACUGCUCUGCCAUUGUUGUGAUUCGGGAGUUUCAGGCACCUCUGUUAAAUGAGGAUAAACAGGGCUGACCUUCCCUUACAGGCAGUCUGGGAUUCUGAAUCGUCAGUGACUGGGAAGUGGCAUGCUCCAUUACCUAAGGCAUGGUAUUAUAUCCACUAGCUAUUUUGUGCAGUUGAAUUUUUGUUCCAUAGAAACGAUUCUCUCAGUGUGAGCUCAAUAGUAACGGGCAUGAUGGUGGUUCUUCUAUGUUGCCAGAAACUAGGUCUGAAUUUCUUCCAGCGCCUCCUGCUCUAAAGCACCUCUUAUGAUUAAUUAACCUUUUGUGGAGUAACUAGGACAUCUGUGUGGGAUGAGAUGUACUUUGGUCAGACUUCAGUUUUCAGUUGUUCAGCAAGAGGAUAAUUAAUUAUAAGAGCUGAAUCUGAACAGAAGACUUUGGAGGAAAUCCAAAUGAAGCAAAACAUCUAAUUAUCAAUGAGCAGGAAGUAUUUUUUUUAUUGUUGUUGUUGUGGGAGUGAAAGAAAUAAUAUAAAUAAGAGGUAGUAGCAACUUAAGAUGCCUGCUUAGAGUGUACACAUAAUUCGAAAAUGUGAGAUAUUUGUGUUUUUGGAGAUAAAGUACAAUGAACUAGCCAUAACUAGACAAAUACGAAACAGGGGCCAAGUUCAUGUCCGAAAUAAGUAUGUAUUCCCCUUGGAGAUAAUUGUGUUGACUUUAACAAGGAUAUAUCUAGAAUCACCCGGCUGUUAUUGCUACUGACAAAUAACCAUAAACAUCUCUUUUCUAGAGAAGAGUGUUGGAUUAAGAUAAAAGUAAGAUAAAAUGCAGGAUGCUAAAAACAGUGCAAAAUCCAUCUCUUUAACAGAAAUGGUCACUGUGAUAGAGAUGGUUUUCCAGAGCUUAACUUUCUGAGGUGAAUCACCUGCAGUAUUUAGCCCACAUCUACAUGACACAAUCUCUCACAAAACCCACAAUCCCCACAGAGCCAGGGAUUCUAGGUUGACUUACUGAACUAUGGUGAGGGGUACCUUAUUGGACCAUGUGAGAAAUUUCCAUUCUCAAACAAAAUGAUCCUCAAAGUUGGUUGUUGCCUACAUUCACUGGUAACGUCUAUACAAAUACUGCAUGAUUCUACUUCGAUGAGGGAAUAUGAUUCUGUUCAUAUUUAUAAAUAUCACAAGGCUUCCAGUCCAUGAAGAUGCUAUAUCCUUUCUUACUUAUUUCUCCUGUUGCUAUGAAAUAGUUUUCAUUCCUCUUUUCUUUCUACCUGUGGCUUCUGCUGCCUCAUGUUAGUACUUAGUGUCCAUGCUUUGUGCAUCUCUCAGUUUCUACAAUUUUCUAUUGUAUGUUGUUAUUGGGAGACAAUUCUCCAUGGUCUCUUGCAUUUCUGCAUUCGGCUAUUCGGUAUAGUCAUGUCUCUUUCCGGGACAAAGGUAGGCCAGUUUCAUUAGUAACCCAGUAUAAAAGACUUAAGUUUCCCAAGUCUGAUUUCCUCAGCUGUGACGCAAACCUACUGCAUCAUGUGGCUGCUCUGUGUCACCCUUUUGGGACUCAAAGGGGUGGGAUGGACAGGAGAACCAGGGCAGACAUGAAGCUCAUGUGCUUGCUGUGCUGUGGGUAAUAAGUCUUUGUCUCUGACUCAGGGGUUUCGUGUCUUCUGCCAUAUCUGCAAAAGUGUACCAGGCUAAAUUGUUAGCUUGCAAGGAAGGUCAUAUUUCUUUACACUUCUUGACAUCUGGGUCUUACAUCCAUACUCCCUGUGAAGAUCUGACUGGGUCAGUUAGUCACCAUCUACUAUAGGGAAUGCCUGUCACACUGAGCUGUUAUGCUAGACCUUCUUAUAGGACAGUCAAUAGAUUGCAGCUUUUGGAUCAGGUUUGAACUCUUGUUCAAACAGCCAUCUGUGGCCAACUUUUCAAGGUCACUUUGUUCAAAUAUUGAGGCCUGUGAAUGAGGGACAGGAUCUCAUGAAGAGGGGGCCAUGAGCUUGACAAACCCUUUAAGGUUCUCAGAAGCAGACAUUAUAACUUUCACGUUUCACAGACUGCCUAGGGAAAUUUUAUUGAGAAAUAGUUAAUUCACCUCAACUCUCCUGCAUAUUCUGAGAUUUUUGUGAGCAGAGAUUAGUGUAUGACUUAUCUGCAAUGUACCGGUUCUCUGCCUAAAGAGGAAGCAUUUGGCAAAUCUUGUGUCCCGAAUACUGGCAACUGGAGAUGAAUGCUCAGGUUCACUUUAGAGGUUCUCUCUUAGCGUGUAUUUCCACUCUUGGGAGAGUGGCUGUGUGGUUGGCUGGUAUUCCUUCCACUGCCAGGUUUAGGCAUGGAUCCUGAUUGGCCUAAAUCAAUCAGCCUUUUGUCUAUUGUGAUUGAUUCAGAGGAGGGCCUAUGACUUUAGAGCAUUGCUUGGAAAGCUCUCUGUCUUUUUAUGGAGGACCUGGUAUGGAAAUGUGAACCUGAAACUCUAGUUUUCAUUUUGUCAGAGUUCUCCAGAGAAACAUUACCAAUAGGAGAUGUAUAUAGCUAUAUAAUAAUGUUACUAUAAAACAUAUAAUAUAUACAGAGAAUAUAUGUAUGUAAAAUCUAUGCAUAAUUAAUUAAUUAAUUAAUAGGAAUUGGCUCAUGAGAUUUUUGGAGGCUGAGAAGUCGCCAAGCUAUAGACCCAGAAAAGCUGAUGAUGUAAUUCAGUCUAAGCCCAAAGGCCUGAGAACUGAGAACCACAGAGGAGCCAAUGGUACCACAGGGCAGGAGAAGAUGAGAUGAAAUAUCCCACCUCAAGUAAUGAGGUAGAAAGAAAGAGUUAAAUUUCUCCUUCCUUGGCCUAUUGCUCUAUUCAGACCCUCAGUGGAUUGGUUGAUGCCCACACAUGUAGGAGAGGGAAAUCUGCUUUAUCAAGUCCACUGAUUCAAAUGCUAAAUCUUAAUGAGGGACAGGCCUCCUCACAGACACACUCAGGAAUAAUGUUUCAUCUGGGCACUCUGUGGCCAGUUAGGCUGACACAUAAAAUUAAACAUCAUGUCACCACGCUUGAAAAUAAAGUAGACACUUGGAGGAAGGAAGGGUCAAGAGAAUAGCUAAAGUUGGAGUCAGAGCCCUAAUGAAACUAUCCCCAAAAUCCAUAUAAUUUCUGAGCUUUUCAUUUAUGUGAGCCAAUAAAUUAAUUUUAUUGUUAAUGGGAGUAUGAAUUGGGUUUUCUAUUACUUACAACAAAAACAUCCUAAGCAAUUCAUUUAUUAGUUUUCAUCACAGGUGAGGUGCAGAUGUGUAGACUUCUUUCUAAAGUUGGGACAGUGCACAUUAGUUCUGGACACAUCAGAUACAAGUCUUGUGUGUGUAAUUCACUGGUCUUUUCCCAGUGCCUGGCCCAUGGUACAUGCUCAUAAAUAUUUGUGGGAGGAAUCCAUGAACACUGCUUAUUGCUCUCCGGAACUUAUCUGUUAUUUCCUGACUCUGGUCACACCUCCUUGAUUGCUUUGAUUGGGCUUUUGCUGCAGAAUUUGGAGGAUGAAUUUGGUCACUAAAGAGUUAAAUAAAAAGAUUUAAAAAAAAAUCACAGUGUCUCCACGAACAAAGGCGACCAAUGUCAUCUUGGUUCCACAUUCUUCAGGGAUGGGUUUCCACAUUGGUGAUUCAGCAGACCAGGCGAUACUACUUAAUCAGAAGUUAUAAUUUUGGUUUGAACUGUUCAGAGAGGUCCAUUAUAAUCUACAGCUUACAUCUUGUGGUAAAAAGGGCAGACUAACUUGUUUUGCCGAAGUACAGCGUUAUUUUCUUCAGAAAAUAAUCGGACUCGGAGCUAUGCUUUAGAUCUCAACACUGCCCCUUUAUGUGCAAGACAGUAUCACUUUUCUCACUGAAAACUGCCAAAUAAAAAAAGAUGAAGGCAGAGUUGGUCUUACCCACCCCAUGUGUAGGUAUCAUUUCCAUCUGCUAUAAGGGGAAGUGCCAACAAGGAUCACACCCAAAGUGGACAGCCUUACUAACUAUGGCUGAACCAUGUUAAAGUGAUGAAGAACCCUGAUGGGACCUCAGGUUCAUAUCCCCAGCCUGCCAAGCCACAUGCUUGCUGAUAUCAGGAUUUUCUAGUGGAUGUGGAAAACAGUUGAAGUCAAAAUAUCUGGGUCAGCAUAACUUAAUGUGCACUAACUGUCAAAAAUCUAACCUGAACAGCCUUCCCUAAUGUUCAGAGUGUUCUCUUCCUCUCUUUCAUAUGAUUUGUCAUACCCAAAGAAUGGGAGAAUUUCUUGGAAUGUGUCCUGACUAUGGACAGCAUGUCCAAAAUGCAACAAGUAGGCAGUAGGGUAAUUAUGUGAUGACCGGCACUUUUGGGAAUAAGACAGAAAGACUUCUCCCCAAAGGUGCAUCAUUUAUGCCACUAAACCCACACAUACACCCUGAAAUGUCUUCCUGGAUUCGCAAAGGUAGUUUAAAAAGAAACCCAGACCAAGGCAUUAUCUUAGAGGUAGACCUAAAUCCAAGACUCUAUGUCAUUGUGGAAAGCAAAGUGCCUGCUGGAGUUUCAGAGACAAAGGGCUCCUUGUCCUCGUCAAACUUGAAUUCAAAGAAAUCCAUUUGUCAGCUAAAUUCUCCAUAGUUUCUCUGAUUGGGUUGCACUUAAGUCUUAUUUCAUGAAUGCAGCCUUAGGCACACUUAUUUUCUUAAAGUCCAGGCUCCCUCCAUUUAUUUCCUUUAGUAUUUAGAAGUCUAAAAUACCAUCAUACCAUUGCCACUUUCCCUAAGCAGCUUGACAGGUUUAGAUUGCCAACUGACUUUCCUUUUGGAUCAGCAAAAAAAAAAAAAAAAAAAAAAAAAAAAAAAUACCUGCUAACCAUUUCCCCAUGGUAUCCUUCCCAGCAGUAAAAUUCUCAGCAAGGCUACUUAACUAUUUCUUAUGUGCUCAUCUUUUUUUCCAUAAUGAGACUGACAACAGAUGCCCGUAUAAUGGAGCUCUCCAUUGACUACCUUAGAUCUGAGUUUUGUGGCUGAGCUUUCUGUAAUCUGCUUCAGGAAAGCAUUUUCAAAACCCUCUAUCUGUGUGGAUGGUCUGCUUCUCCUCUUGUCAUGCAAAUCCUCUUCACUAGGCUUCUACCUUCAUGUGUGUGCUUUUCUGUCUGGGAGUAUAGCCUCUCUUAUUACAGCACUUGAUUAUACUUAAACUUUGCUCUAUUAUUCUCUUCUCUAGUGUUUGAUUUCAGCCAGCUGAUUCCAAGAAUAGGAACCAUAUCUCCUAAUUCUUCGUAUGCCUCUAACUACCACUUAUCACAUUGACGAUGGCUAGUAAAGAUGCCUCCCUGGUAACAUCAGUUGCCUGGUCUAAGCUUCAUUUGCAGUAGUUUGCUCUCCCAUAAAAACUUCCUUCAAAUUUAUUUUUUAUAAUUAAUAUUUGAAAGGUUUAUAAGCCAUUCUUAGGCCUCUUAUAAGCUCAUUUCACCCUGUUGCAGGUAUGUGGAAACUGGAUUUGACUGGAAAGGAAUCUUAGAUGAAUGGACUGCAGCUGGAUACAUUCCUUAUAUUUAACUCAGCAUCUCGUUUGUGGUUUUCUCAUUACUACUUUUAACUGGUUUAUUAAAUGUGCUAAACUUGGUAGAGUUUAACAAAGAGACAACAUUUAUUUUUUUGCCAUGACUGUCCUUAAUUGUAUUUGGUCAGAUUUCCCUUCUUGGCCUCCUUGGUGACAACUUGGGCUGAUCUUACUGCUUUUCAGUCAAAGUUUUAACCAAUAGGCUCAUCUUCAAGUAUUAAAUAGCACAGCCCAAUCUAAUAUAAAAACUUCAGUCCCUCAUCUAAUUGAAGCUCCUUCCCCAACACUCCCUGUCAGCACCCUCCACUCCCUAUCCCCACCUCAUUGCUCAGAGAAUAUAUGAUCCCUCAGUGCAGUAGAUGGGCAGUAAGGCAUGACUGGGUCUCCCUCUUAUUCUCUACUUUUCUCCUUCAUUCUCAAUCUCCACUCAGAAGGCUGUUGCUUCUGGACUCUUACAGAGUUCGGGUGCUAAGUAGGGAGGAGAGAUAGAUGGUGACAAUUUCCAACUUAGCUGCUACUGGUAUAAUUGGUGUCAUUGUUCUCUGUGUGGCAGAUGACCCAAUACUGGGUUUCACCCAGGAAUGUUUGUGGGAUCUUUGUCCUGCAUGGGGAAUGUAUUCUUUGGCUGACCUCUUAUGACAUCCUCUCAAUCCUUUGCUCUGGCUCUAUACCCUACCAAGCUUUCUUUUGUUGGGUCUCCAGUGCCCUGUAGGCAGAGUCCUGUGAAGAUGGUGCCAUUCUGGCUCCCCUCUGUGGUAUUCACAUGGUCCAGGAUAUCUUUAUCUUGCUGCCGGCUGGUCAAAGUGCAACUUGCUUCUCAGUUUGCUUAUUCUCCAGGGAUAGAUGCUUUCUUGAAGGAUAGUUUAAGUUCUCUCAAAAACCCUUUUUUUGUCCCAUUCCCUAAGAUCAUCCAGCCAUGGACUAAGAUGUCUGUCUUCUGUAUGCAAGUGGUUGUGUUGAAGCCCCUUCUGGUAAGCAGGGUGUUUUGUGUGGCAGGGGGUAGGGGGAGAGGCAAAGCACCCCUAUUUCCUUUUCCAUGGGAGAGGGAUGGGAAAAUCCACUUCCACGAAGUUCUAUAAAAAAUCUCUCUCUUUUUGGUGCCUGGGUGGCUCAUUUGGUUGAGCAUCUGAUUCUUGGUUUCUGCUCAAGUCAUGAUCUCAGGGUUGUGGGGUUGAGCCCCAUGUUGGGCUCCAUGCUCA
Zalophus californianus (California sea lion) is the source of this 9483-nucleotide long non-coding RNA. RefSeq lists it as uncharacterized. The transcript is spliced from 7 exons. Lineage: Eukaryota; Metazoa; Chordata; Mammalia; Carnivora; Otariidae. The record is from RefSeq and is a predicted model, not a curated record.